GGAGGAACACCAGUGGCGAAGGCGGCUCACUGGCUCGAUACUGACGCUGAGGUGCGAAAGUGUGGGGAGCAAACAGGAUUAGAUACCCUGGUAGUCCACACCGUAAACGAUGAAUGCCAGACGUCGGGCAGUAUACUGUUCGGUGUCACACCUAACGGAUUAAGCAUUCCGCCUGGGGAGUACGGUCGCAAGAUUAAAACUCAAAUGAA
RNAcentral lists this ribosomal RNA (209 nucleotides) under uncultured Paracoccaceae bacterium. RNAcentral's name for it is "uncultured Rhodobacteraceae bacterium partial 16S ribosomal RNA". It matches the Rfam family "Bacterial small subunit ribosomal RNA", at positions 700 to 909 of the family's 1533-position model. Lineage: Bacteria; Pseudomonadati; Pseudomonadota; Alphaproteobacteria; Rhodobacterales; Paracoccaceae. The record is from RNAcentral.